This is a long non-coding RNA of Gasterosteus aculeatus aculeatus (three-spined stickleback), 952 nucleotides long. The record is from Ensembl. Lineage: Eukaryota; Metazoa; Chordata; Actinopteri; Perciformes; Gasterosteidae.
AGUACCGUCACCCCUCGUGUGGAAAAAACGCAAAAGCAGCAGUCUAAGAAAAACAGGGAGGGCGAUCGAGGCCGCGGAGAGAAAGAGAGAGCUCGCUCGCUGUGAAAACACUCGACCUGCCGAUGAAUGAGACUUCCCCCGGCGGACUGAUCCCGUGUUUGGUCUGACGGAGACAGAGCGGAUGAAUGGAGACAUGUAUGUAAAUACGUCCACUCCGUGUAAACGGCGCGUUAAAUAGGCGGUUAGUGGGCGAGACCACCAGACGGAGGAUCACCAGAAGCUCCUUCAGUACAUCCUCCAGCAGAGACCAGUCCACUGAGGACAGACCCACAUCCUCCAGCAGAGACCAGUCCACUGAGGACAGACCCACAUCCUCCAGCAGAGACCAGUCCACCGAGGACAGACCCGAAUCCUCCAGCAGAGACCAGUCCACCGAGGACAAGACCCACAUCCUCCAGCAGAGACCAGUCCACCGAGGACAGACCCGAAUCCUCCAGCAGAGACCAGUCCACCGAGGACAAGACCCACAUCCUCCAGCAGAGACCAGUCCACCGAGGACAGACCCACAUCCUCCAGCAGAGACCAGUCCACCGAGGACAGACCCACAUCCUCCAGCAGAGACCAGUCCACCGAGGACAGACCCACAUCCUCCAGCAGAGACCAGUCCACCGAGGACAGACCCGAAUCCUCCAGCAGAGACCAGUCCACCGAGGACAGACCCGAAUCCUCCAGCAGAGACCAGUCCACCGAGGACAGACCCGAAUCCUCCAGCAGAGACCAGUCCACCGAGGACAGACCCGAAUCCUGCAGCAGAGACCAGUCCACCGAGGACAAGACCCACAUCCUCCAGCAGAGACCAGUCCACCGAGGGACAGACCCACAUCCGGGCUCCACCGCAGUUCUCGGACCUGCAGUCGGCGCACCCGGACUCUGCUCCCGGUAGCGUCUCCUC